Molecule: ribosomal RNA, 1470 nt
Filed under: uncultured organism
Description: 16S ribosomal RNA
Rfam family: Bacterial small subunit ribosomal RNA
Source: RNAcentral
GGCGGCGUGCCUAAUACAUGCAAGUCGAGCGAACGGACGAGAAGCUUGCUUCUCUGAUGUUAGCGGCGGACGGGUGAGUAACACGUGGAUAACCUACCUAUAAGACUGGGAUAACUUCGGGAAACCGGAGCUAAUACCGGAUAAUAUUUUGAACCGCAUGGUUCAAAAGUGAAAGACGGUCUUGCUGUCACUUAUAGAUGGAUCCGCGCUGCAUUAGCUAGUUGGUAAGGUAACGGCUUACCAAGGCAACGAUGCAUAGCCGACCUGAGAGGGUGAUCGGCCACACUGGAACUGAGACACGGUCCAGACUCCUACGGGAGGCAGCAGUAGGGAAUCUUCCGCAAUGGGCGAAAGCCUGACGGAGCAACGCCGCGUGAGUGAUGAAGGUCUUCGGAUCGUAAAACUCUGUUAUUAGGGAAGAACAUAUGUGUAAGUAACUGUGCACAUCUUGACGGUACCUAAUCAGAAAGCCACGGCUAACUACGUGCCAGCAGCCGCGGUAAUACGUAGGUGGCAAGCGUUAUCCGGAAUUAUUGGGCGUAAAGCGCGCGUAGGCGGUUUUUUAAGUCUGAUGUGAAAGCCCACGGCUCAACCGUGGAGGGUCAUUGGAAACUGGAAAACUUGAGUGCAGAAGAGGAAAGUGGAAUUCCAUGUGUAGCGGUGAAAUGCGCAGAGAUAUGGAGGAACACCAGUGGCGAAGGCGACUUUCUGGUCUGUAACUGACGCUGAUGUGCGAAAGCGUGGGGAUCAAACAGGAUUAGAUACCCUGGUAGUCCACGCCGUAAACGAUGAGUGCUAAGUGUUAGGGGGUUUCCGCCCCUUAGUGCUGCAGCUAACGCAUUAAGCACUCCGCCUGGGGAGUACGACCGCAAGGUUGAAACUCAAAGGAAUUGACGGGGACCCGCACAAGCGGUGGAGCAUGUGGUUUAAUUCGAAGCAACGCGAAGAACCUUACCAAAUCUUGACAUCCUUUGACAACUCUAGAGAUAGAGCCUUCCCCUUCGGGGGACAAAGUGACAGGUGGUGCAUGGUUGUCGUCAGCUCGUGUCGUGAGAUGUUGGGUUAAGUCCCGCAACGAGCGCAACCCUUAAGCUUAGUUGCCAUCAUUAAGUUGGGCACUCUAAGUUGACUGCCGGUGACAAACCGGAGGAAGGUGGGGAUGACGUCAAAUCAUCAUGCCCCUUAUGAUUUGGGCUACACACGUGCUACAAUGGACAAUACAAAGGGCAGCGAAACCGCGAGGUCAAGCAAAUCCCAUAAAGUUGUUCUCAGUUCGGAUUGUAGUCUGCAACUCGACUACAUGAAGCUGGAAUCGCUAGUAAUCGUAGAUCAGCAUGCUACGGUGAAUACGUUCCCGGGUCUUGUACACACCGCCCGUCACACCACGAGAGUUUGUAACACCCGAAGCCGGUGGAGUAACCUUUUAGGAGCUAGCCGUCGAAGGUGGGACAAAUGAUUGGGGUGAAGUCG